RNAcentral lists this long non-coding RNA (1373 nucleotides) under Pan troglodytes (chimpanzee). RNAcentral's name for it is "long non-coding RNA NONPTRT015089". The record is from RNAcentral. Lineage: Eukaryota; Metazoa; Chordata; Mammalia; Primates; Hominidae.
CUCCAAGGUAUAAGCGAUUCUCCUGCCUCAGCCUCCCGACUAGCUGGGAUUACAGGCAUUCACCACCAAGCCCGUCCAAUUUUGUAUUUUUAGUAGAGACGGGAUGUCCCCAUGUUGGUCAGGUUGGUCUCGAGCUCCCGACCUCAGGUGAUCGCCCGCCUCGACCUCCCAAAGUGCUGGGAUUACAGGCGUGAACCACCGUGCCCGGCCUUGCCCGCAUGUGUUUUGAAUUUUGCUGCCCGGAAUUCACUGCGAGGACUGGGAUCACCCGUCGCCCCGCCCUGGUCUACGGAAAAUGAAAUGUGUUUACUGAUACAGAAACGGAAUAACGGCGCUGUGGGCUGGGGAGGGCCGAGCUGCCUUCAGGCUUCUGGUCUCCAGCUGCAGGGCACUCACACCUGCCCGCUAUGAAAAUGCAGACCCGCGGGGCAGGAAUUCCGAGUCGGGGCUGGAGCGCGAUCUGGAAUCCGGCUCUCUUGAAACAGCACCGCGGAGGAUUCGGAUCCGGGCUCUGACCGGCAGACCCAGGCUGCACGAUGGAUGAAUAACGUACUCAGACACCGAUAUUCAGUGAAAGAGUGCACCAGAGGGCCAGGCCACUCACAGAAAGGGUUGUGGCAGCUGCGUGCCCUGACUAUCUGGCCCUGUGGGCCUUUAUUCAGCACAGAUUUAAUGACAAAGGCUUUGAGUCAACACACCUGUGGAUAAUUAAUCUGGUCGCAGUCCCCCGGAGAGAGCAGUCCUACAAAUGAUCAAAGUUUCCUACUACGACCCAAUUAAACACAAAAGGAAGAUCCUGGCUAUGCGAGGAUGAUUCAGUGAUGGCCUUCAAAUAACCACCCCUGGUUAUUCACCUUCCCCAGUUACUCAAUCAACAUUACUGUAGGUGCCGCUGUGAAGGGAUUCUGCAGAUAUAAGGAAGGUCCCAAAUCAGUUGACUUUAAGGCCAUGAUUAUCCUGCCUUGGACUGUCCUAAUCAGGUGAGCUCUUAAAACAACUUAUUUCUUCUUCAGCAAAGAGAUUCACAGUGUGAGCGAGAUUCAACGUGAGGGGCUUCCUCCACUGUGAGCUUUGAAAAUGGAGGGGCCAUGUGGCAAAGGAUAUGGCGGGCUCCAGGAAUUGAGAACAGCUCCACCCCACCUCCACCUGACAGCUGCCCAGGAACAAGGACUACAAUCCCACAACUGCCUGAAACUGAAUUCUGCCACCAAGCUCUGUAUAAGCUUGAAGGAGGACCCCAGCCUCAAGAUGAGGACACAGCUUCGUGAAAUCCUGAACUGAGAAUCAUUCACACCAGGCCUGGAUUUCUCAUUAAGGAAAUGUAGAGAAAUAAAUGGGUGCUGUGUAGAGCCAGUGAGUUAGUGGUAAUACGU